AACGCGAAGAACCUUACCUGGGCUCGAACGGCUUCUCAACGGCUGUGGAAACAUGGCUACCCCGCAAGGGGGUGGAGUCGAGGUGCUGCAUGGCUGUCGUCAGCUCGUGUCGUGAGAUGUUGGGUUAAGUCCCGCAACGAGCGCAACCCUUGUCCUGUGUUGCCAUGCCGCAAGGCGGCACUCGCAGGAGACCGCCAGCGAUAAGCUGGAGGAAGGUGGGGAUGACGUCAAGUCCUCAUGGCCUUUAUGUCCAGGGCUACACACGUGCUACAAUGGCCGGUACAAAGCGUCGCUAACCCGCGAGGGGGAGCCAAUCGCAAAAAACCGGUCUCAGUUCGGAUUGAAGUCUGCAACUCGACUUCAUGAAGCUGGAAUCGCUAGUAAUCGCGGAUCAGAACGCCGCGGUGAAUACGUUCCCGGGUCUUGUACACACGC
Molecule: ribosomal RNA, 435 nt
Filed under: uncultured Acidobacteriota bacterium
Lineage: Bacteria; Pseudomonadati; Acidobacteriota
Description: bacterial SSU rRNA
Rfam family: Bacterial small subunit ribosomal RNA
Source: RNAcentral